This 314-nucleotide ribosomal RNA is filed under the name uncultured bacterium. RNAcentral describes it as "bacterial SSU rRNA". It matches the Rfam family "Bacterial small subunit ribosomal RNA", at positions 29 to 334 of the family's 1533-position model. The record is from RNAcentral.
AACGAACGCUGGCGGCAGGCUUAACACAUGCAAGUUGAACGGGAACAUACGAUAGCUUGCUAUAGUAUGUGAGAGUGGCGCACGGGUGAGUAAUACAUGGGAACAUACCUUGAAGUGGGGGAUAACUUCUGGAAACGGAUGCUAAUACCGCAUAAGCCCACAGCUCCGCAUGGAGCAGAGGGAAAAGGAGCGAUCCGCUUUGAGAUGGCCUCGCGUCCGAUUAGCUAGUUGGUGAGGUAACGGCCCACCAAGGCAACGAUCGGUAGCCGGACUGAGAGGUUGAUCGGCCACAUUGGGACUGAGACACGGCCCAG